CAGUCGCCGCGGGAAUACGAAGGGUGCAAGCGUUAAUCGGAAUUACUGGGCGUAAGGCGUGCGUAGGCGGUGAGUUAAGUCUGCUGUGAAAUCCCCGGGCUCAACCUGGGAAUGGCAGUGGAUACUGGCUCGCUAGAGUGUGUCAGAGGAUGGUGGAAUUCCCGGUGUAGCGGUGAAAUGCGUAGAGAUCGGGAGGAACAUCAGUGACGAAGGCGGCCAUCUGGGACAACACUGGCGCUGAGGCACGAAAGCGUGGGGAGCAAACAGGAUUAGAUACCCCUGUAGUCCCUGUCUCUUAUAC
RNAcentral lists this ribosomal RNA (301 nucleotides) under uncultured bacterium. Its description in RNAcentral is "partial 16S ribosomal RNA". It matches the Rfam family "Bacterial small subunit ribosomal RNA", at positions 509 to 807 of the family's 1533-position model. The record is from RNAcentral.